Molecule: long non-coding RNA, 2806 nt
Filed under: Bemisia tabaci
Lineage: Eukaryota; Metazoa; Arthropoda; Insecta; Hemiptera; Aleyrodidae
Description: lncRNA ENSSSA1NGG014321
Source: RNAcentral
AUGUGUAGGAUAGUGCUACUGUUAUUCCUCGUGUACAAAUUUUCAAGAGGAAUGGAACAACCUCAGGCUCCGCAAGGGCCGGAGCAGCAGUUCAAUCAGCUUCUCCAGAAUCAAGGAUUGGGCUACCUUGUGGCCGCAAACGCGAAUCCUGAUCAACUAGAUGCGAGAGACUGCAUCAAAGAGUGUCAUAAGUCGUUCGGAUUCGUACUUGGGCGUCAAAGAAACGCUUGGAUUCCCGUUGCAACAGGAAUCGUGAUCGGAGAUCCGUUUUUUGCGAACGAAUGCGUAUGCGAGCUGACCGCCAAUUUCAAGAGCCUCCUGGGAAAGUCCAAAAGAAUUUAUUUUACUUAUCUUUUCAAUACCUCUGCGUGGACCUUCAAAAGAGUUGUGAAGCUGAGUUUCGAAUGGAGACCGUUCGAAGAUGGGCUUUUGUUCUGUCUCACGCGCUCAGCACCCCGUCGCGGCCAGCCGCAAAUUGGUGGUUGACAGCGAAAACUAGCCUCAUCUCGUUUUUUAUUCUGGAAUUUCUAUCCAAGUAUUGCGUUUAAAACUAUGCACUUACAUAUCUCAAAGCCUAAAUUAAGAGGAAGAAAAAAAGAACUAAACGUUUUUUUACCAUCAUCAAUUGGACGUAUUUCUAUCAAACGGACCUAAGCGCCAUCGGAGGAGGAAGGUAGCGGGGGGCUUGGAUUGGCGGCGGAAUCGGGCGCCCGGCUUAUUCCGCCCUAUACUCGCAAUCCUUUUCCAUGGCGCUUAGGUCCGUUUGACAGAACGCGCUAUCAAUGAUUCUAUAUUCCUCAAAAGGAACUCAAAUUGGCGCUUGGUUCCGUUUGAUAGAAAUACGUCCAAUUAAGGAGAAUCCUUGUUGCAUGGGAGGCAACGUUUACAAUAGAUCGUAUUUGGUAGUGGUUCGCUGUAUCGAUUGGUUCAAAACAAUCGAACAUAGUCUCAAACAAAAAUUUUAGGAUUUAAGUUGGAAAAGCUGGAAAGGAGAAUAUUCAUAGUAUAAUUUUACUCUUCAUAGCCAUUUUGUACUUCUAGGUAUCAAAAAUCUAUCAUAAAAAAACCGCUCCCUCAGAUUACUCAAUUGGCUUCUAGGGCUAUGUUUACAUGUUGAACCAAUCGAUAUCGAUACAAUCUCACCUCUUUGCUGUAUCGAUUAUGAUCCAUGGCCAGUUAAGACCUCCCAGACAUAAAUUAUCUAUAGGAGCAUUUUUUGCGAUUAGGAGAAAAUCGAGAUCAGGGAUAAACUGUUGUAUAUUUGUUCAAGAUAUGAUAUUUUAUUUCUUGAAAAAUAAAAAAGCUUUACUUAAACAACUUGUAGCUGAUACACUUUUAGUAUAACUUGAUGUGAUCUAUGAAAAAGGAGUUGGAUUCGUUUCAGAAGAAAUUCGUGAAGUUUAAUUUAUUCGGAGGUCAUCAGAAGUAGAGUAUGAAAUAAAUUCCUCCAACUACGUGUUACUAAUGAAUAGCAUCAAAAAACCUCUCCUAUGUAAAAAGGUCAAUGCGUCAAUAGUUGAAACGAAUAAUUAUCACUAAAGAACGUAUGGGCAUAUGUCUAGAGUCUAUUGCGUCAAAAGUUUAAACGAGUACCGCUAAAAAUAGUGAAUGGUAUAGAGAGUGUAUAGAGUCGGCUGCGAUGAAUAAGAGAGGAAAAUUUGCAUUAGGUAUCCCGAAAGUACCGCACGCUUCCCUUUUUUGAGUGAACGGUAAAAUCUAAUUACAUGCGGUUGGCCCAUGCAGGGCUCUUGAUUGAAUCCUCGGGUUUAAAUGGGGUUUUACGUUCCCCGCUUCCACAACCUAAAUUAAAAAACGAGCUAGAAAAACGCCAAAAUUCCGCUUUACACGAUAUUUUCAUAAUAUCAUAAAUUUUAUCAAAGAUUAUCAAAGAUAAUCAAAGAUUUUCAAGUUUGGGACCUGCAUAUAAGAACUUAUUGCAAACCUACUAGGAUUCAAUCCAGAGCCCCGUGAAAACCCAAUAAGUCAAUAGAUUUUACUGUUUGCUGAAUAACAGGAAGCAUGCAGUCAGCAGUACUUUCGGGACACCCUCUGUAGUCUGUAUAAUUUCAAGGGCAACGCAUAGUUUGAAAAACUGGUGAAAUUUUCAGAUGUACCUAGAGACAAUACUUAUCACAGCAACGGAAGCAUCAGAGGAAUCGCACGCAAGCAAAACAAGCGGGAAAGUUCUAAUACUGUCGUAUUAGAAAAGCGCUCAGGUGUUAGUCUAUGUAUUUAGUGAAGAAUACAAAUUUUAUAUAGUUACACAUUUCUUUAUUUGCCCUUCUGAAUUUACAUUGUUAAUAAUUGAUUAAUAAUAUUGUUAAUAUACAUAGUUCCUAUUCUUUUGUUUUAUUCCAUACCACUUGUUUUUUUUAAUCCUCGUAUAAAAACCACCCAUUUGCUAAAAACAAUUCUAGCUGGAGCGCAUUUCAGCUAUGCAUUAACCACUGCAAAAAUGUCAAAGGAAAUCGACAAGCCUAGCGUGCAUGGGUGCAUGACGGUUAUUUUAAUUGUAAUCUUCCGCUGCAUUUCUAAGGCGCAAUGAUACAACUAUUUGAACUCUCCGGAAUGCGUGAGGUAUUACACCUCAUUUGAAGGCGUUUUCAAAACAGCCAAGUUCCGAUUCCCGGAUUAUCGUUUUGCAUAGUUCCUAUUCUUUUGUUUUAUUCCUUACCACUUGUUUAUUUUUAAUCCUCGUAUAAAAACCACCCAUUUGCUAAAUACAAUUCUAGCUGGAGCGCCUUUCAGCUAUGCAUUAACCACUGCAAAAAUGUCAAAGGAAAUCGACAAGCCCAGCGUCAAUGAU